This 773-nucleotide ribosomal RNA is filed under the name uncultured marine microorganism. RNAcentral describes it as "bacterial SSU rRNA". It matches the Rfam family "Bacterial small subunit ribosomal RNA", at positions 8 to 777 of the family's 1533-position model. The record is from RNAcentral.
AGAGUUUGAUCAUGGCUCAGAUUGAACGCUGGCGGCAGGCCUAACACAUGCAAGUCGAACGGUAACAUUUCUAGCUUGCUAGAAGAUGACGAGUGGCGGACGGGUGAGUAAUGCUUGGGAACUUGCCUUUGCGAGGGGGAUAACAGUUGGAAACGACUGCUAAUACCGCAUAACGUCUACGGACCAAACGGGGCUUUUAGCUCCGGCGCAAAGAGAGGCCCAAGUGAGAUUAGCUAGUUGGUAAGGUAAUGGCUUACCAAGGCAACGAUCUCUAGCUGUUCUGAGAGGAAGAUCAGCCACACUGGAACUGAGACACGGUCCAGACUCCUACGGGAGGCAGCAGUGGGGAAUAUUGCACAAUGGGGGAAACCCUGAUGCAGCCAUGCCGCGUGUGUGAAGAAGGCCUUCGGGUUGUAAAGCACUUUCAGUUGUGAGGAAAAGUUAGUAGUUAAUACCUGCUAGCCGUGACGUUAACAACAGAAGAAGCACCGGCUAACUCCGUGCCAGCAGCCGCGGUAAUACGGAGGGUGCGAGCGUUAAUCGGAAUUACUGGGCGUAAAGCGCACGCAGGCGGUUUGUUAAGCUAGAUGUGAAAGCCCCGGGCUCAACCUGGGAUAGUCAUUUAGAACUGGCAGACUAGAGUCUUGGAGAGGGGAGUGGAAUUCCAGGUGUAGCGGUGAAAUGCGUAGAUAUCUGGAGGAACAUCAGUGGCGAAGGCGACUCCCUGGCCAAAGACUGACGCUCAUGUGCGAAAGUGUGGGUAGCGAACAGGA